GACUACCGGGGUAUCUAAUCCUGUUUGCUCCCCACGCUUUCGCGCCUCAGCGUCAGUUACUGUCCAGAUAGUCGCCUUCGCCACCGGUGUUCCUCCUAAUAUCUACGCAUUUUACCGCUACACUAGGAAUUCCACUAUCCUCUCCAGUACUCAAGUCCCACAGUUUCAGAUGCAGCGCCCGGGUUAAGCCCGGGAAUUUCACAUCUGACUUAUGAGACCGCCUACACGCCCUUUACACCCAGUAAAUCCGGAUAACGCUUGCCACCUACGUAUUACCGCGGCUGCUGGCACGUAGUUAGCCGUGGCUUGUUUUUCAGGUACCGUCAUUUGUUUCUUCCCUGAUCAAAGAAGUUUACAACCCGAAGGCCUUCUUCCUUCACGCGGCGUUGCUGGGUCAGGGUUUCCCCCAUUGCCCAAUAUUCCCCACUGCAGCCUCCCGUAGG
Molecule: ribosomal RNA, 443 nt
Filed under: uncultured Saccharofermentans sp.
Lineage: Bacteria; Bacillati; Bacillota; Clostridia; Eubacteriales; Oscillospiraceae
Description: partial 16S ribosomal RNA
Source: RNAcentral